Monopterus albus (swamp eel) is the source of this 562-nucleotide long non-coding RNA. RefSeq lists it as uncharacterized. The transcript is spliced from 2 exons. Lineage: Eukaryota; Metazoa; Chordata; Actinopteri; Synbranchiformes; Synbranchidae. The record is from RefSeq and is a predicted model, not a curated record.
CACAAAGCUGCUUCCUAUCUUUUGGCAGUCUCUUCUGCUGCUUUUGUGGUCCACAUGUUUGGGCAAACCUCUCCUGCGGCACUUUGGUGUUUGCCUUGCCCAACCUGAUUUCUCCUGUGUUCCAGAUCUGCAUGUACAAAUUGUUCUGCCUGGGCUGCCCUGCUCUGCCUCCCCUGCUUGAAGAUGCUUGCUAGUUUUAGAUUUCUUCUGUGGCUUUUCUCCAGUUCUCAGCUCACUCCAGUUGCCCAAGCCAAGCUAUACCUGUCCAGUCUCAAUGAUCGAGUGGUCACCUGGUUAUCCUUUGCCUGACUCUUCAUCUACCUGUGGUUAAUGGCCGGCCACCAUCCUGCCAGACCAGAGUCCAGGAACCUAUAUCUCGAAUGUUGCGGCUCCACCAGCACUACCCACCUCUGUGAGAAGCCUGCUAUCCACUCCACUGUUUGCCAAGUCUUCACAGCUACUCCACUCCUCCAGCUGCUGCCUCCCCUACAGACAGUUGCCUGCUACAUCUCUUCCAUUUGGCACUCUUGACCCUCUUGUACAAUAAAAUACUUUAAAUCUA